GAGAUAUUUCGGAUGGUGAAAGUGGUACUUAUCAUUCUAUCUUGCAUCAUUCUUCUGAACUUGCGUGGAUCCAUGGCAACUAAUUUUAAGAUUUCCUAAUUAUUAGGAUCCUAUUCAAGCAACUUUGGAUAUCACAACUCCCCUUAGUUGGCAAAUGAAUAAUCAUUUGGUUGUGGUCUCUAAGCCCCUUGUUCGUAUCUCAAGUUUAAGUUGAACUUCUUGUUUGGACAGUCUGGAUCUCUCUCAGACUGGGCUUUAGGCUUCUAGGUUUUCGUCCAGAAUAUGUUAUUGGCAAAACCAAAAUCAACAGUAGUGUUGUCCUCUUUGCCACCAACACAAUGUUAGGGCUGUACUCUUUGCUAUCUGCAGAUCCUAGUCCAGUAUUUGUACAACCUGGAAACUCAUAAUUGUCCAUCUUUUUUUAUUUUUUAUUUUUUGAAAUUGGCUCUUGUGAUGAGCUUGAUAUCCCUUCAAAAGUAUUGUGAGGGAGAUGGAAUCCAACUGUUCUGCUCACUGUAAGAAGGUGCGCAACUAAGCAUAGUGAGACCAACCAAGAUAUGGAAUCAAAAGCGACACCUUAGAGGCUAAAUGGCAAAGACUUAAUAAUAUCUCUAAUUUGAAAUCUCAGCUUCAGACCCCAUUGCGUUGCUCUGGUGGUUUUUGGCCUAACAGAGCUACAGCAAUACAACUUAUCAGUGGAACAAAAUGGGGAGAGAGAGAGAGAAAGAAGGAUUACCAAAAAAUAUCCAUUUCAGCAAUGAUCAACUUUCAGCAACCGGAAAAUUACAAAAUAUACCUAUUUCCAAAAGGUACCUACUUGCAUAUGCUUGUAGAAGAACCUUUGGAUUUUCUCAUUCCACCAAGGAGAAUGUCUCAAGAAAAGACCACGAAAAGUCCACUGAAAUCCAAGAAAAAUUAUGACCAAUGCACCGCAUCCAAAGAACAGUCAUCCAUCUUCUCAUUGAUUGCAUGUACAAAACUUCGCUUGAAUCCUCCCACAUUCAUCAUACAUCAUCAUUGCAAUACUUUGGCAUUGCCAUCUAGUUGUUCUGUAGUUCAUUUUAGCAUUGCUUUCACAAGGAAUGAUUGAAAACUGUAGGAGCCAUAUGUGCAGAAACAAAAUCAUUACUACCCAACAUGGAAAUAACGCAAAAUUUCUGUGUAACAACUGUAUUUCAAAGAUAAUUUGAACCAGAUAGGGACUGGUGGUUCUUUUCCACAAAGGUGCUUUCUACAGCAGAAAUCUAGCACAAUGGUUACAGACAAAAUUGCAGACAGAAAAAAAGCUUAAUUUGUUUUCAAUAGAUAAGGAAGAGAAGAAAGAAGAGAUUUAGGAACAGAAAAUUUUCACAAACUACUUGAAAUUUGAAGAUAAAAUUCAAUAUCUCAACUCUCAACAUUAUUUCUACAAGAUUCAUCUCGUCACUUAACUACUUUCUACUUGAAAUAAAAAUUCUCCACUACUUUAAAGAAGUUGAUUAGAAAAGGAUCCAAAUGACUCCAUCUUUGGUUGCUUGAUCUUCAUCUAGGCUUGUAUUGCCCUUCAGGGGUCCAACCAUAGCUGCGGCGAGAGACGGAUAGCAUUGACGUAAGCAACGCUGAAGCAGUCGCAGUGUGAUAUGGAAGCAUCGUCUCCACACAGCAGCUCAUCUCCACUGGCGACCUGAAAAUGCGAUGAGAGAGAGGACCUUGCUUCGAGAUACGGAAUGGAGACAAAGCUGGUUUGCUUCUGAGUCCGGGUUUGGGUCCGGAGGCAAGUCUGACAGUUCGGUUGGCGGUGGAGCGAAGGAAAGACCUGGCGGCUGCGGCGGCGGACAUCGCUACUGGGAUUAUUUAGGACUGGCGUGGAGCAGCAAAUAGAGAUAAUGAGUUGAGGGUUUUGACCAUACAAGAUGGGGUUUUGGCUUGCAGCUGAAAUCUAAUAUUUUUGCGUGUAUCUAUGCGUACAAGACCUCAGCACAUCGGUAUUGCGUGGA
Molecule: unclassified non-coding RNA, 1976 nt
Filed under: Hevea brasiliensis (rubber tree)
Lineage: Eukaryota; Viridiplantae; Streptophyta; Magnoliopsida; Malpighiales; Euphorbiaceae
Source: RNAcentral